CCUACGGGGGGCAGCAGUGAGGAAUAUUGGUCAAUGGACGAGAGUCUGAACCAGCCAAGUAGCGUGAGGGAUGACUGCCCUAUGGGUUGUAAACUUCUUUUAUCAAGGAAUAAAACGAGGCACGUGUCCCUUUUUGCAUGUACUUUAUGAAUAAGGAUCGGCUAACUCCGUGCCAGCAGCCGCGGUAAUACGGAGGAUCCGAGCGUUAUCCGGAUUUAUUGGGUGUAAAGGGAGCGUAGGUGGGUUGUUAAGUCAGUUGUGAAAGUUUGCGGCUCAACCGUAAAAUUGCAAUUGAUACUGGCAGUCUUGAGUACGGUAGAGGUAGGCGGAAUGCGUGGUGUAGCGGUGAAAUGCAGAGCUAUCGCGAAGAACCCCGAUUGCGAAGGCAGCUUACUAAACUGUGACUGACAUUGAUGCUCGAAAGUGUGGGUAUCAAACAGGAUUAGAUACCCGGGUAGUC
RNAcentral lists this ribosomal RNA (460 nucleotides) under uncultured bacterium. RNAcentral describes it as "partial 16S ribosomal RNA". It matches the Rfam family "Bacterial small subunit ribosomal RNA", at positions 338 to 795 of the family's 1533-position model. The record is from RNAcentral.